This 659-nucleotide ribosomal RNA is filed under the name Dietzia sp. RNAcentral's name for it is "bacterial SSU rRNA". It matches the Rfam family "Bacterial small subunit ribosomal RNA", at positions 337 to 1005 of the family's 1533-position model. The record is from RNAcentral. Lineage: Bacteria; Bacillati; Actinomycetota; Actinomycetes; Mycobacteriales; Dietziaceae.
UCCUACCGGGAGGCAGCAGUGGGGAAUAUUGCACAAUGGGCGAAAGCCUGAUGCAGCGACGCCGCGUGGGGGAUGACGGUCUUCGGAUUGUAAACCCCUUUCAGUAGGGACGAAGCGCAAGUGACGGUACCUGCAGAAGAAGCACCGGCUAACUACGUGCCAGCAGCCGCGGUAAUACGUAGGGUGCGAGCGUUGUCCGGAAUUACUGGGCGUAAAGAGCUCGUAGGCGGUUUGUCACGUCGUCUGUGAAAUCCCUCGGCUUAACCGGGGGCGUGCAGGCGAUACGGGCAGACUUGAGUACUACAGGGGAGACUGGAAUUCCUGGUGUAGCGGUGAAAUGCGCAGAUAUCAGGAGGAACACCGGUGGCGAAGGCGGGUCUCUGGGUAGUAACUGACGCUGAGGAGCGAAAGCAUGGGUAGCGAACAGGAUUAGAUACCCUGGUAGUCCAUGCCGUAAACGGUGGGCGCUAGGUGUGGGGUCCUUCCACGGACUCCGUGCCGUAGCUAACGCAUUAAGCGCCCCGCCUGGGGAGUACGGCCGCAAGGCUAAAACUCAAAGGAAUUGACGGGGGCCCGCACAAGCGGCGGAGCAUGUGGAUUAAUUCGAUGCAACGCGAAGAACCUUACCUAGGCUUGACAUAUACAGGACGACGGCAGAG